CCUUCGAUAGCUCAGUUGGUAGAGCGGUGGACUGUAGAGGCAAUCGAUUGAUAUCCAUAGGUCGCUGGUUCAAAUCCGGCUCGAAGGA
RNAcentral lists this transfer RNA (88 nucleotides) under Papilio machaon (common yellow swallowtail). It matches the Rfam family "tRNA". Rfam says of the family: Transfer RNA (tRNA) molecules are approximately 80 nucleotides in length. Their secondary structure includes four short double-helical elements and three loops (D, anti-codon, and T loops). Lineage: Eukaryota; Metazoa; Arthropoda; Insecta; Lepidoptera; Papilionidae. The record is from Rfam by way of RNAcentral.